AAGGGUCCGUAGGCGGAUCCGUAAGUCAGUGGUGAAAUCUCAUAGCUUAACUAUGAAACUGCCAUUGAUACUGCGGGUCUUGAGUAAGGUAGAAGUAGCUGGAAUAAGUAGUGUAGCGGUGAAAUGCAUAGAUAUUACUUAGAACACCAAUUGCGAAGGCAGGUUACUAUGUCUUAACUGACGCUGAUGGACGAAAGCGUGGGGAGCGAACAGGAUUAGAUACCCUGGUAGUCCACGCCGUAAACGAUGCUAACUCGUUUUUGGGCUUUCGGGUUCAGAGACUAAGCGAAAGUGAUAAGUUAGCCACCUGGGGAGUACGAACGCAAGUUUGAAACUCAAAGGAAUUGACGGGGGCCCGCACAAGCGGUGGAUUAUGUGGUUUAAUUCGAUGAUACGCGAGGAACCUUACCAAGACUUAAAUGGGAAUUGAUCGGUUUAGAAAUAGACCUUCCUUCGGGCAAUUUUCAAGGUGCUGCAUGGUUGUCGUCAGCUCGUGCCGUGAGGUGUUAGGUUAAGUCCUGCAACGAGCGCAACCCCUGUCACUAGUUGCCAUCAUUAAGUUGGGGACUCUAGUGAGACUGCCUACGCAAGUAGAGAGGAAGGUGGGGAUGACGUCAAAUCAUCACGGCCCUUAUCGUCUUGGGCCACACACGUAAUACAAUGGCCGGUACAGAGGGCAGCUACACAGCGAUGUGAUGCAAAUCUCGAAAGCCGGUCUCAGUUCGGAUU
Molecule: ribosomal RNA, 729 nt
Filed under: uncultured bacterium
Lineage: Bacteria
Description: bacterial SSU rRNA
Rfam family: Bacterial small subunit ribosomal RNA
Source: RNAcentral